Molecule: ribosomal RNA, 324 nt
Filed under: uncultured bacterium
Lineage: Bacteria
Description: bacterial SSU rRNA
Rfam family: Bacterial small subunit ribosomal RNA
Source: RNAcentral
GAUGAACGCUGGCGGCGUGCCUGAUACAUGCAAGUCGAACGGAGCUCGGUUGGAAAGUCCUUCGGGACCGGAAUUCUGAGCUUAGUGGCGGACGGGUGAGUAACGCGUGAGCAAUCUGCCUUUGAGAGGGGAAUAACAGUCGGAAACGACUGCUAAUACCGCAUAAUGUAUCGUGAUCGCAUGGUCGUGAUACCAAAGAUUUUAUCGCUCAAAGAUGAGCUCGCGUCCCAUUAGCUAGUUGGUGAGGUAACGGCCCACCAAGGCGACGAUGGGUAGCCGGACUGAGAGGUUGAACGGCCACAUUGGGACUGAGACACGGCCCAG